GAUGAACGCUGGCGGCGUGCCUAAUACAUGCAAGUCGAGCGAACAGACGAGGAGCUUGCUCCUCUGACGUUAGCGGCGGACGGGUGAGUAACACGUGGAUAACCUACCUAUAAGACUGGGAUAACUUCGGGAAACCGGAGCUAAUACCGGAUAAUAUAUUGAACCGCAUGGUUCAAUAGUGAAAGACGGUUUUGCUGUCACUUAUAGAUGGAUCCGCGCCGCAUUAGCUAGUUGGUAAGGUAACGGCUUACCAAGGCAACGAUGCGUAGCCGACCUGAGAGGGUGAUCGGCCACACGGGAAGUGAGACACGGUCCAGACUCCUACGGGAGGCAGCAGUAGGGAAUCUUCCGCAAUGGGCGAAAGCCUGACGGAGCAACGCCGCGUGAGUGAUGAAGGUCUUCGGAUCGUAAAACUCUGUUAUGAGGGAAGAACAAAUGUGUAAGUAACUAUGCACGUCUUGACGGUACCUAAUCAGAAAGCCACGGCUAACUACGUG
This 497-nucleotide ribosomal RNA is filed under the name uncultured bacterium. RNAcentral describes it as "partial 16S ribosomal RNA". It matches the Rfam family "Bacterial small subunit ribosomal RNA", at positions 28 to 507 of the family's 1533-position model. The record is from RNAcentral.